RNAcentral lists this ribosomal RNA (301 nucleotides) under uncultured bacterium. RNAcentral's name for it is "partial 16S ribosomal RNA". It matches the Rfam family "Bacterial small subunit ribosomal RNA", at positions 509 to 807 of the family's 1533-position model. The record is from RNAcentral.
CAGCCGCCGCGGUAAUACGAAGGGGGCUAGCGUUGCUCGGAAUGACUGGGCGUAAAGGGCGCGUAGGCGGAUUGUUUAGUUAGGCGUGAAAUUCCUGGGCUUAACCUGGGGACUGCGCUUAAUACAGGCAGUCUAGAGUGAGGAAGAGGGUUGUGGAAUUCCCAGUGUAGAGGUGAAAUUCGUAGAUAUUGGGAAGAACACCGGUGGCGAAGGCGGCAACCUGGUCCUUGACUGACGCUGAGGCGCGAAAGCGUGGGGAGCAAACAGGAUUAGAUACCCCUGUAGUCCCUGUCUCUUAUAC